GACGGAGGAUGCAAGUGUUAUCCGGAAUCACUGGGCGUAAAGCGUCUGUAGGUGGUUCGAAAAGUCAACUGUUAAAAAUUGAGGCUUAACUUCAAAGAUGCCGUGGAAACUUUCAAACUAGAGUAUGGUAGGGGUAGAUGGAAUUUCCAGUGGAGCGGUGAAAUGCGUAGAUAUUGGAAAGACCACCGAUGGCGAAGGCACUCUACUGGGCCAUUACUGACACUGAUAGACGAAAGCUAGGGGAGCAAAUGGG
RNAcentral lists this ribosomal RNA (253 nucleotides) under uncultured bacterium. RNAcentral's name for it is "partial 16S ribosomal RNA". It matches the Rfam family "Bacterial small subunit ribosomal RNA", at positions 524 to 776 of the family's 1533-position model. The record is from RNAcentral.